UCUCGCCUCAGCGGUGAUAUUACGUAACCGCUGGCCAAUCAGACGCGGCUAGGCUGAGGCUGCCGCAGUGCGGUGUCACGUGCCCGUGCUUUGCCGCAGUCCUAAAGGACUUGAAGCCAUUUUGUUCCAUCAAUUAAGGAGGUGGGAGGGGUGAUCUUCCCUGAAGGGCAAGGUCAAAUUGGGCUUUGAAGGGGCUAGUUAAAUGUGUCACCUGACAGCCCCCCCUCACCUCAUUUUGUCUGCUCAGUCUUGAGGCUCCCGGACAGUCCAAAGCCCCAAGGGUCAAGUGGCCAACUGUCAAACUCCAUGACCUGUCCAUAGGCCCUAAGCCAACCUCGUGGGUAGAGGCAUCACCCUAUCCGAAGUGCUGGAGGAGGUCACCGGUCUCACCUAAAGCAUGUGAGACCUAGUGACUCCCAACUAGGAGGGACCUUUGAAACCAUCCAGCUCAGACAAAGGACCAGGAAGCCUAGAGAGGGUCACGGGACUAGAACUCAGGUCUUCAUCUCUUAAGAAAAAACCAACUACAGAGGCAGAUCAUCUUUGUUGUUCUUUGGCCUUCAUUUUUGAAGAGGACCAAUGACAUCACAAGAGUUAUGUAAGUCCAGUGGCAAGACAAAAGUCAAGAUGACUAGUGAGAGUCCAGGAUGAUAUGGAUGACUUUGGCUUCUUUGAUAUCUAACCACACUCUAAGCACUCCACAGUGCCUGCUUCAGCCACUUUCAUGGCCACUAGAACAAAUUGUUUUCAUCUGCCCAUUCUACCAGGUAAUACAUGAAGAAUUUGAUCCUCUGGACUACCAUACCAUGAAUCUUUAUGUUCGGUGGCAAAAAGGGCCAUGCAUGGUCGCUUGAUGAUUAAGACUGGCCCAUCCACUUGUGAUCCUACACAAUGACUGAUCCUACAAUUGCUACAGGUUACAUUCCAAUAUCUAACUCCUUUGUGUGUUAAUUCAGUAAUGUUCAAAGCUUCAGGAUGAUCUUUUACUGUAGUUAUAAAAGCAUACUCCCCUGUUAGGCAAGCUUGAAUGUCUAAUGUAACACUUCUAUUUACUGGUCUUUGAACUUUCCCAUUAUUAGUAACAUUAACAUAUUGAGACAUAUAUACUUUAUCCAAUGCCAGGGCUAUCUUUCCAUAAUCAGUCAAAAUCUGUGUGAAAUUAGCAGAACGUAACCAAUUAGCUCUGGGGGCGUCACCCACAAAGGCAAGCUGUACCCUCCUAUAAAACAAUCAUGAAAUUUAUAAGAAUCCAGUUUCUUUCCAAUACACCUUGUGUCGUUAUGCCAAGACACCCAAAUCAUAUUUUUUUCCAAUGAAUACAUGAUGCCCUUUUAGAUCUACAUGAUAGCAAGGGCAGAAACAUAUUAACAGAGUCUCUUUGUUCAUAUUCCAUCAUGUAUGGACAAAUAGGCCUUUCUUGUCCCCAAGUACUAUCACAAGAUUCCCCUAGCCAACCUAGAUAUUGCAGUUGGCCGUAACCUUCAUAUUUUACCCCUUGGUCUACAUGAUAAGGUCCUAUCCAGAAAGAGUCUGACAGAUCAGGAUGACCAUAAUAAUGUGCCUGCAGAGAAUGGAGGGGCAGGCAUGCAGGAUGGCCUUGUGUGAGGCACACUGGGGGUGCCUCAACUAGUCCAGUCCAAUUGAAAGGCACAAACAAAUUGUUGGCCUGAUUUCUGUCUUUAGCUUGUCUCUCAAAAUGGUAAAUGUCAGGAAUAUCAGAGUUAGUUUUUGUAUAUAAGAUGACUUUCUGUAAAGUGUGUCCCAUGCCAACAUAUUCUACUCAAGGUGGUUGUUCUCAAAAGUCCCAUUUCUUUAUUGCAGUAGCUGUACUUAAAUUCUGAAAUAAAAGCAAAAGAGUCAAUAUCUUAUGGAGACAUUGUCGAGUCUCCUUGCGAGGCUUCCUGCAUCCUCUCCUUAUCCUCUUUAUGGUCAAUUUCUCGAACUCGGCAGGAAGGGAGCCAUACUCUGUCUUUACCUGUGGAGACACAAAAAAAACCUCGACCUGGCAGGACCACUGGGUGGGGUCCUUGCCAAGACUGAUUAUCAUCUUUCCACACGCCAAAUUUUUGUUCUGGGGCAGGGAGCACAGGAGUAGUGGAACCGGAAUUUUGUUCAUAAGAAAAUGCAGAGAAAAAAUUUUCAGCUCUGGAUAUAUUAUUGGAAGUAAAGAUCAAAUUAUUUAUAGUAUAUAUAGCUAUUGCCAAUCAUCAAUAUAGGGUGCUUUCUCCCCCUUUUUGUUUUAAAAGAAAUGUUUUUAGUAUUUCAUUACUGUGCUCCACAAUAACUUGUCCUUGUGGAUUGUAUGGGAUACCUGUGAGGUGUUGAAUACCCCAAAUUUGGCAAAAAAGAAAAAAAUAUAUAUAAGCAGGUCCAUUAUCUGUUUUAAAUGUUCUGGGGGGACCAGCAAUCUGAAAAGUCAUUAAGCAGUGAUUAAUAACAUGAGAAGUUCUUUCUCCCAUCAAGUAGGAAGCCCAUAAAAAUCCUGAAUAAGUAUCCACAGUGACAUGGAUAUAUUUAAGUCAUCCAAAGGACCAUUCAUGGGUCACAUCCAUUUGCCAUAUAUCUGUACUAUUUAAGCCUCUGGGAUUCACACUAAUAUGCAUUGAGGGGGGUGGCUUGGAACACAAUUAGGACACUUUUUAACAAUACUUCUGGCUUGAUCUUUAGUGAGUUGGAACAUUUUGUGUAAAGCAGUACUAUUUUGGUGAAAUCUAUGAUAUGAUUCCUCAGCUAAUUGCAUAUUAGAUAAUAUUGAGCAAUCAAAUCUUGAGCUAUAAUAUCAUUUCCUUUAAAAAUAGGUCCAGGCAGAGUGGUAUGACUAUGUACAUGCAUGACAUAUACUGGAUGUGUCCUUUGUCGUAUGACAGUUUGUAAUUUACAGAAUAACAUUUGUACAUUGCUUUGAGUAGAUCUGAUAACAGCUUGUUCUAUACCCUGCAAAAACUGAAAAACAUAUUUAGAGUCCAUUAUAAGGUUGAAAGGAUCCUGAAAUAACCAAAAAGCUAGUAAAACAGCUGUUAAUUCAUUUUGUUGGGUAGAAGAAAAAGGAGUGGUAAAAAUGACAGGUGAGCUAUCUUCCUUGUAUACUCCUGCCUUGUAAUUAGCAUUUGCAUCAACAUAAACAUUAGGUUCUGAUACCCGACGAUCUCUUAGAAUAUGAGGAAAAACAAUAGUAUGUUGUGACAAAAAAGAAAAUAAGCCUUGUGGAGUGUAGGUGGUAAUAGCAAUGGGGUACACUAAUAGUAAAGACCAUUCGUCAUGACUUUGUAAAUAUUUCUGUAUAUCUUUAGCAAUGGAUACUUGGAUUUCAUGAGGAUACCAUCCUAAACCUGAAACCACAUGUUCUAUGCCUUUCCAUUUUAAUUGAGCCAUAAGACAAUUAUAACUUGCCUUUUUAGAUGUAACCAUUCAAUGACUCUUUGUUUCUCAGUUAAGGCACCUGUUGGUAACAUAAAGUUGCAAAAAUAGUCACUUCCACAGCUAAUUGAGGCUGAUAGCGGUUAAGUGGAGCCUGAUUCAAUUUGUCUUCUACUAUCUCUAAAGCAAGAAAGGCCUCCGGUGUCAAAGUUCCAGGGGAAUUCAAAUCAGAACUCCCUUCCAGUAUUUUGAAUAAAGGUUGUAAUUCAGUUGUAGUAAGAAAUGAAUAUUGCCUAACACAAUUGAUAUCACCUAACAAUUUCUGAUAAUCAUUUAAGGUAUUAAAGUAGUCCUUUCUUAAUUGUAUUUUUGAGGCAUAACAGAUGCUACAUAUAACUGAGCCCCUAGAUAGAGUACGGGACUUGUUUUUUGAAUCUUUUCUUGAGCAAUGACUAAAUGGUAUUUUUGCAAGGUAAUUUCCAAUUGACUAUAGCACUUGCUUAUUUAGGAUUCAUCUUCAGCCACGAUAAGAAUAUCAUCCAUAUAAUGUAUGAUGUACAGAGCAGGAAAAUGUAGUCUUACAGAAUGAAGGGCUGAAGCUACAUAUUGUUGGCUGAAUAAUCUUAUCAUUCUGGACAUGGAAUGUUUGCAUUACAGUUCCACAGCUUCAAACAAGUACUUGGUCAGACAGAGCUGGCAAAGUUUGUUUGUUUGAGCAUCUUAAAACCUCCUUUCUAUAAUUUCUACAAUUAAAAUAUACUCAUCUUAAGUUCUAUUACACAGUGGUUGUUAACUCUUUGAGGUCCCUAUUUCAGUUCAUAAGUAUCAGUGUGGAACAAUUAUAAGCACUUCUUUCUCCUUCCUGUGUGCAAGGAAGGGGUUAAUAGCUUCUGAGCAAUUUAUCCUAAGGCUCCUUGGCUCAAUUUAGAUUUAUUACUUAACAGCCUUGUCCCAUCCUUCUCUAACAAGUGAGCUCACUACAAUUUAAAAUUUUGAAUUUAUCAAACCUCUUUCAUAAUAAUUUACUCAGUGAAUUUUAGUUUGAACUCCACAACUUCCAAAUAACUUUGAUUAAGUCCUUUAGCAAUCUUUCAGUGUGUAACCAAACUGAAGUACAAAGCAUUUACCUGUACUCCUCUCAAAUUUCUGUCUAAAGUAGAAUAGAUCCUCCAGUUUAGUUUUCUUUUAGCUCAAAAUAUUGCUACAUACUUGAUUAAAUUCCAAUUUAUAAUUUGUUGUAUCUAUUUCACACUAGAAUUCAUAGUAUCAACUAGUAUCUCUAUCCAUUACUCUUAUUUCUUCUGGCUUCUCCUCUUUACCAUUUUUGUAAGUAGAGGAAAGGUACUGUCACCCUUCUUGAUUUCAAGGCUGCAGUUUGCAUAUCAUAUACCCUUAAAUUCUUUCCUAUAUAUUGUACACAUUUUAGAAGCAAUUCAUAUAACCUUAGUCAAAGACAACAUUGUUUAGAAAUUCUCUCUUGCAAAAUACCAACUUCUUGGUACUAGUAUUAUUGAAUCCCAUUUAAAAACGUCUUGUGUGUCAAAUGAUUUCUUGUUACUACUCCUGACAGCACAUGCAUUAAAAUAAAUAUGAUUUGAAAAAAUCCCAAAUUUAAAUUCUAGAAUAAGUUCUUCUCAACAACAUAACAACUUUUUCAGGAUGACUUUUACAUCUAUAAAGUAGCCAGUGCAAUUUUUGUCCUUAAAGAAUAAAACAUUCCCUCUCUGUGUCAGUCUGGCUAUCAGCCACAUUUAGACAAUUGUCAAAUUCACUGAAACCAUUAUGCAUAGCAAGAUCUAACAAAACAAACUUCUAACCAUGAGUUUUGUUGUGCUCAAUAAAAUCUGGUUAACAUUUCACAUUUAACUGACAAAUAGUUACCAUAAUUCAUGAAAUUAUAUUUGUAUCAUAUCAAAAUCAUUAACAAUCCUCCAAAAUUGCAUACAUCAAACCAUUAAUCUAAGUGAAAAGUAGCAUCUAAUUAUGGAGUAAAAAUCUCCCUUUUUCUGUUCUGAAUUUUUCUCUUUUUCACUCUUUUGGGGGCCCAUCCAAAGGAAGAAAGAGGAAAAAAUCAUUGAACAGGUAUUUGCUUUUGUCCUCUGCUGAGGAUUUUUGACAGACAAGUUCAAUCUUGCAACUAUCCCAUUUUUUUCUUUCUUUUUGUGAGUGUCCAAUUUAAGAAUACAUAGAGACAAGACUGUGACAAAGACAACGAUAAACAGAAACACACAACAUUGUGACAAGCAUGCUUUGAAAGGAAAAAAUCAGUGUUUUAGGAUCCAAGGGUUCCAAUAAAAGAAGCAGGGGGAAGGGGGUCCCUGUACCGGGCGCCACUUGCCGGGGACAUCUACAGAGUCACAAUAGGGGACAGUUUAGAACUGUUGGAGAACAGCUAUGGAGUCACAAGAAAGAAAGACUGGAACAUUAUCAAAGAAGGAUAAUGAAUGUUUAUUGUAAGCAGCACACCAGAUUUAAAGCUCUUCUCGAGAGACAUAAUCUAUCCUCCCCAAUCAUCCCCAAUAUGUGAACAGGGGAAUUAACCUGUUCCCAGGAGAUCUUGGAACUGUUCAUGCAGCCUUGAACUGAGAUUACUAUGUUUUGGAGUACUCAGCAGGAAUGGUAUGUCACAAACACCUGAAAAGAGGAACUCCAUUCCAUGAAGUCAUGAAAGGUUCACUGCACUCUUGGAAUACCUAAUACAUCUCAAAUUAUUUCUUGUAUAUUCCCAAUCUGUUAUCCUUUAUUUUGUUUCCUUUGUGAGGCUUGCCACCAUGGAUUCAGGUUUUUAAAUUCUGCUAAUUAUUUCUGCUAUCCUGGAUACUUUUCUCUGUGGGUUUUCAUGGCACUAUUUUCUCCCCAAUUCUCCUUCUAACCUGUUUGACAAUCCCUUCUCAUUCUCCUUUGCCAGGUCAUAAUAUUAUUCCCUAAUUUUGGGGAUUUGUUUGUUUUUGUUUUUUUCCAACCCAUCCAUAAACAUUUACCUGAAAUCUUCUCUGCUGACCACAAUCUAUUGGUUUUCACCUCCCCCUCUAUCUUUCCUUACAAAACUCUACUUUUCAUCUGUACCAAUCCUUAAUUCUUCUCAAUUCUUCUCCCCAGCACUAGCCCCUCUCUUCUUUUCUCAUAUCGAUCCCUUGGUAAGCCAAUUCAACUCUUUACUGCCCACCCUUAUUGAAUACCUACUGCCACCCCCAUUAUCAUCACCAAUUAUGCUGUCAGACUUCUUUCUUGGAUCACUCCCACCAUACAUUGCCUUCAUUCCUACACAAGUACUGCUGAAUGAAGGCAGAGAAAGUCACAACUAUGUGAUUAUAUCUGCUACACAUGUUAUACACCCUCAACUGGGCCCUCAGCAAGGCUAGGCAAUCAACUUACUAUCCUACUCUCCCCAAUAGCUCUUUCAUUCCUUUUUAUUCCACCUCAAACCUCUAGUAGGUCACUUAGUUGAGAAUAUUGCCUCAUAUUUUACAGAAAAAAAAUUGGGGCUGUUUUCCAUGAACUCCCUCUUCCUCAUCUCCUAUAAUUUAGAUGAUGCCUUCUACCACUAACUCCUUCACCCCUGACUCACAUGAUAAAAUGGCCUUGCUCCUUUUGUUUAUUCAAGUGAUCCCAUUCCUUCCCCUUGUGAAUUUCAAAACUAGUCCAGGCUAUUCAGACCAUUCUUUAGAAGAUCACAUUUAGCUAUUUCCUGAUCAAUAAUAAUAGAGAUACUUGGAAUAACAGAAUCAGGUCUUAGAAACUACAUUCUCCACCCUACUCAGUGUAACAAGAUUAGGAAGGGCUACAGCAAACUCAAGAUUUAAUUAUUUGAGAAUAUGGCCUUCAACAGACAUGUGCAAAAAAAGGACAGACCUCUGGGCGAUCCUAGGUCAAGCUAGAGCCACCAUUGGCACAUGUGAGAUGCAGAAAGUGAGGUAGAGAACAGCCUCUGGAGUUCUCAGGACUUCCUGUGAGGAGGGCUAGAGUACAGUUCGAGGCUGGUGCUUAAGUUGGAGGAGCCCCACAGACUGCUUUCCUUCAGAUUGGUCACGUAAGGACUGAUCCCUUUCCCUGCCCUGGUUAUCCAAGGCCUUAACACCCGCUUUGGCUCAGCCUGAGCCAGAGUGGUUCUGAGUUAAACUUCUUUCCUUCUCUCUCUCUCUCUCUCUCUCUCUCUCUCUCUCUCUCUCUCUCUCUCUCUCUCUCUCUCUCUCUCUCUCUCUCUCUCUCUCUCUCUCUCUCUCUCUUUCUCCCUCCCUCUAAUACUUUCUUCAUCCUGUUGUAAUUAAAACACCAUAAAAAUUUGGCAGCUGACUUGAGUGUUUCAUUUAGGAAUUACAUAAGUGAAUUCCUUGGCGACCUUAAAUUAAUAUAUAGAUCAGUCUUUUAAAGUGAUUUCAAUAUCACACCCUCCAACAGAUUGCCUUCUCUGUUAUCUCCACUCUUUAAAAAUUUAUUUUUUCUGCCAAUAACAUUUUAUUUCCCCCCAAAUAGACAAAAAACAAUUUUUAACUUUUUUUAAAUGUUGAGUUCCAAAAACGUGUCCCACUCCCCUUCCAGAGAUGAUAAGCAAUUUUAUAUAGGUUAUAUAUUUACAAUAAUGUGAAACAUUUCCAUAUUAAUCUUCUUGUGGAAUAAACAAACAAAAAAAUCCACAGAGAAAAUAAAGUGAAUAAUAGUAUGCCUCCAUCUGCAUUUAGACUCCACUAGUUCUUUCCCUGGAGAUGGCUAGCAUUUUUUAUCAUCAGUCCUUUGGAAUUUUCUUGGAUCAUUGUAUUUCUAAGAAGAAGUAAGUUAUUCACAGUUGAUCCUUGUACAAUAUUGCUAUUAUUAGUUAUAAUGUUCUGGUUUUACAACUUCGCUCUGCAUCAGUUCACGUAAGUCUUUCCAGAUUUUUCUGAAAUUAUUCUGCUUAUCAUUUUUUAUAGCACAGUGGUAUUUCAUUACAACCAUAUAUCACAACUUAGCCAUUCACCAAUUGAUGGGUAUCUCCUCACUUUCCAAUUCAUUGCUACUACAAAAAGAGCUGCUAUAAUUUUGCUUAUAUAGAUACUUUUCUUUUUUCUGUAUUUUUUUCUCUUUGGGAUAUAGACCUAGCCAUGGUAUUCCUGGGUCAAAGGAUAUGUUUGGUUUUAUAGCUCUUUGGGCAUAGUUCCAAAUUGUUCUCAAGAAUGACUAUAUCAAUUCACAAACUCCACCAACAGUGCAUUAAUGUCUCAGUUUUCCCAAAUCCCCAGCAACUUUUGUUAUUUUUCUUUUCUGCCAAUCUGAGAAGUAUGAGGUGAUGUCUCAGAGUUAUUUUAAUUUGCAUUUCUUUUUAAUUAACUUAAAGCAUUUGUUUAUAUAGCAAUAGAUAGCUUUGAUUGCUUCAGCCAAAAACUAUUCAUAUCCUUUGACCAUUUAGCAAUUAGGAAAUGACUUAUAUUCUUAUACAUUUGAUUCAUUUCUAUAUAUAUAAAUAUAUAUAUAUAUAUAUAUUUGAGAAAUUUGGCCUUUAUGAAAGAAAUUUAUAAAUUUUUCUUCACCAUUAAAAUUAUUACCUUCCAUCCUUUUUCGCUUCAUUCAUCCCAUUCUCUCCUUUCAUCCUGUCCAUCCUCAAGCAUUUUGUUUCUGAACAUUACCUCCCCCAAUUUGUCUUCCUUCUUUGAGCCACUUUUUUAAAAACACCUUUCAUCUUGGAAGCAAUACUGUGGGGUGCAGCUGGGUGGCUCAGUGGAUUGAGAGGCAGACCUAGAGACAGGAGGUCCUAGGUUCAAAUCUGGCCUCAGACUCUUCCCAGCUGUGUGACCCUGGGCAAGUCACUUAACCCUCAUUGCCUAGCCCUUACCACUCUUCUGCUUUGGAGCCAAUACACAGUAUUGACUCCAAGACAGAAGGUAAGGGUUUAAAAAAAAUACUGUGUAUUAGUUCCAAGGCAGAAGAAUGGUAAGGGCUAGGCAAUGAGAAGUAAAUUACUUUUCCAGGGUCACACAGUUAGGAAGUGUCUGAGGUCAGAUUUGAACUCAGGAUGUCACUAGGACUGGCUCACAAUCCACUGAACCAUCCACUUGUGCUCACUUUGAACGUCUGAUGAGUGUAAGGUUCAAGCACUCCCCUCCCUACUUCUUCAUCUACCUCCCAUGAUAAAAGUUUUUUUGUGCCUCUCAUGUGAAAUAACUUGCCAAAUUCUAUCUCUUCUUUAACCCUUCUCCCAAUGCAUCUCUCUUUCUCACCCCUUAAUUUUUUUAGAUGUCAUCCCAUCAUAUUCAGCUCACAUUUUUGCCCUCUGUCUAUAUAUACUCAAAACUGCCCUAGUAAUUUUAAUGUCAUAUGAGUUACAAGUAUCAUCUUCCCACAUAGGUAUGUAAACAGUUUAACCUUAUUGAAACCCUUAUAAUUUUUCUUUCUUGUUUACCUUUUUAUGCUUCUCUUAAACCUUAUAUUUUAGAACCACAUUUUCUAUUCAGUUCUAGUCUUUUCAUCAUGAACACUUGAAAGUUCCCUAUUUCAUUGAAUGCCUACUUUUCCCCCUGAAGGAUUAUACCAAGUUUUUCUGGGUAGGUAAUUCUUGGCUGCAAAGUUGUUUGGAGGGUAAUUUGGGAGAGAUAAAGAGGGCUGUCCCUUCUCCACCAUCUUGGCUUUUGCCCCUAUCAUUUCUACUUUUUCACUUUGAUUUUCACUAGAUACUUCCAUCCUCAUUAUCAUCUUAUAUCUUUUUUGCCUUUGUAACUAAACUCCUCAAAAAGGCCAUCUAGGUGGUGAUGGAACACUUCUGUGCUAUAAGGAACGGUAAAUCUCUUGAUUUCUAUAUGAACUGGAAAGACCUACAUUAUACAUAGUAACUGAAACAUUGAAGGAUGAUCAAAUGUAAUAGACUUUGCUACUAAUACCAAUGCAAUGAUCCAGGACAAUCCUGAGGGACUUAUGAAAAAGAAUGCCAUCCACAUCUAGAGAAAGAACUGUGGGAGUAGAAAUGCAGAAGAAAACAUAUGAUUUAUCACUUAUUCAUAUGGGUAUCUAAUUUGGGGUUUUGGUUUUUAAAGAUUACUCUUUUACAAAAGUGAAUAAUAUGGAAAUAGGUAUCAAGUGACAACACAUGUAUAACCUACUGGAAUUGCUUAUUAGUUCUAGGAGGGGGGAGGGAGAGAACAUGAAUCAUGUAACUAUGGUAAAAUAUUUUUUAAAAUAAAAUAUUUUUUAAAAGGCCAUGUAGAAUUGGUGCCUCCACUUUCUCUCCACUCAUUAUCUUCUUAACCCCUUAUAAUAUGGCUUUUAAUCUUAUUACACCAAAACUGCUCUCUCCAAAAUUACUAAUGAUUUUAGUGGUAAAUCCACUGGCGUCUUCUCAAUCCUCAUUCUCCUUGACCUCUCUGAAGUAUUCUCUUUGAUAUUCUCUUCUGUGAUAGCUUGAUGUUUUCACUACCUAGAAGUAUAAUUUCAUACAUAGAUAUUCGUUGGUCUGAAUAUGCUUGAAUACGAAAUUUCCUCAUUAGCGCUUCUAUUUGAUGUGAACAGAAUACCGUCAAUGGACAUCCCCAAAACUAAUUCCUGUGACUUUUGAACUAACACAGCUGCAGCAGCUACACCCCUUAAACAAGGAACUGUACCUGUAUCAAUUGGAUCUAGCUGACAGCUAUAGUAUCCAAUUGGAUGAUAACUUUGUCCUAAAGUCCGUGUUAGUACACCAGAUGCAAUACCUUUGGUCUCAUGCACAAAUAAUUGAAAAGGUUUAGUAUAGUCUGGGAUUCCAAGAGCUGGUGCAGAUAAAAUUGCUUCCUUAAGGCUUGCAGAUGUUCAGGUAUGAGUUUCAGGGGUUCUGGUUCUGUAUUCCUAGUUAUAUCUGUUAAACAUUUAGUAGUUUCAGUAUAUGCAGGUAUCCAUUGUCUUGUAAUGAUUAAAAUAGUGGAAGACAUAAACUGUGGCAGAUAAAAGAGUGGAUGGCUUAAAUUGUGACAACAGAAAAUAUGGUUUCAAGACAGUGUCUUGUUUUUAAAAUCAAAUAUAAGGUGGUCGCAGGGGAAAAUUCCCAAAAAAGAAAAAUUACUCAAGUCAGCUGGAUUUUAUAGAGAUUUUAAUUCAUACAAAUGAGGAAUUAAAGAAAGAGAGAGAGAGAGAGAGAGAGAGAGAGAGAGAGAGAGAGAGAGAGAGAGAGAGAGAGAGAGAGAA
Monodelphis domestica (gray short-tailed opossum) is the source of this 11481-nucleotide long non-coding RNA. RefSeq lists it as uncharacterized. The record is from RefSeq and is a predicted model, not a curated record. Lineage: Eukaryota; Metazoa; Chordata; Mammalia; Didelphimorphia; Didelphidae.